Triticum aestivum (bread wheat) is the source of this 134-nucleotide non-coding RNA. The record is from Rfam. Lineage: Eukaryota; Viridiplantae; Streptophyta; Magnoliopsida; Poales; Poaceae.
CAACUACUCCCUCUAUCCCAAAUUCUUGUCUUAGAUUUGUCUAGAUAGGGAUGUAUCUAAUACUAAAAUGUGACUUGAUACAUCCGUAUCUAGACAAAUCUAAGACAAGAAUUUUGGGACGGAGGGAGUACUUU